GUACUGAAAUUACGACUUCAUGAAGCUGGAAUUGCUAGUAAUGGCAGGUCAGCAUACUGCCGUGAAUACGUUCCCGGGCCUUGUACACACCGCCCGUCACACCAUGAGAGUUGGGAAUACCCGAAGCCUGUGAGCUAACUGUAAAGAGGCAGCAGUCGAAGGUAGAAUCAAUGAUUGGGGUGAAGUCGUAACAAGGUACC
Molecule: ribosomal RNA, 200 nt
Filed under: uncultured bacterium
Lineage: Bacteria
Description: partial 16S ribosomal RNA
Rfam family: Bacterial small subunit ribosomal RNA
Source: RNAcentral